AAUGGGAAAUUAAAUCACUACUCAACACAGCACUUCAUUCAGUCACUGUAUUCAAAUUCACCACCAUCAUCAUCAUCGAAGUGACAGAUCUAGCAGCCGCUAAUUUCUUCCUUUGGUAAUUAUAAGGACCAUAGAUCUUUCUUAGAAGAUGUGGUACCUUCUCUAUCGUUUUGAGAAGGAGAUGGCGGAUCGAUUGAAUGCGAUAGUUAGCGAGACACGAAAGAGGUAGAUCUAGUGUUGUUCAUUCUUGAGAAAGUAGCGGUGGAAUCCGUCGCUCCUUCAUGGCU
Molecule: long non-coding RNA, 287 nt
Filed under: Brassica napus (rape)
Lineage: Eukaryota; Viridiplantae; Streptophyta; Magnoliopsida; Brassicales; Brassicaceae
Description: long non-coding RNA (BNAP_LNC020955)
Source: RNAcentral